UUGUCGAUUGGGAGGGCUACGGUCCGGAGGAUCGCUCCUGGGUCCCUGGCUCUUUUAUUUUAGAUCCUUCCCUCAUCACGGACUACCGCUCGUCGCUUCCCUCCUCUUCGUCUCGGCCGCCAGGUGGCGACCGUUGAGGGGGGGGUACUGUUGUGUUCCGGGGUUCUUUGUUUUCCUUGUGGGAGUCUGUUUGCUGCUUCUCACCAUCUAGCCACCAGAUAGCGCCAGACUCACCUCUCUCCGGAGUGGUGUGUCAUCCUCCUGCGCACCUGAGAUCAAUCUGCUCGUCAGGCAAGGUGUACAAGAGGAGCUGACUGCCAGUACUUCGAUGCCUGAGUGUUAGCCAGUAACGGUCCUCCUGGAUUUCCUGGUUGGCAGUCACGCCGUCCCUCCGUCACCACUGCAUGAGCCUACCUGUCCGUCCUCUGUUCCACUUCCUCGUUGCCUUCUGGACUUCUGUGGCUGAGCUCUGGACUAUCUGGAUCCACAAAGUGACCAAGUCCCCGGACACUUCAGCAAACCCCUCCUAAACUCCGAACCUCCGUCUAACAAUGAGCCGAGCGUUUCUGUGAGCCCGCUUCUCCCCUGGACGAGACCCGUCGCUUCACUAUUUUUUCCAGUUUGUGUUCGCAAUAAACUCACUUAAUUAUAUACGUGUCUCCUGUGUUGUGUUCUGCA
Xiphophorus maculatus (southern platyfish) is the source of this 678-nucleotide long non-coding RNA. RefSeq lists it as uncharacterized. The transcript has 3 exons. Lineage: Eukaryota; Metazoa; Chordata; Actinopteri; Cyprinodontiformes; Poeciliidae. The record is from RefSeq and is a predicted model, not a curated record.